UCGGUCGAACGGUCGGAAUCGCUUCGUGAUUUUUAAUUACGUUUGAACCAUUUGGACAGCUCACACACGCGCUGCAAUGAGUCGUUUGGAGCAUCUUCUCACGGUGUAAACUGUACUUCAGAACACGGGGAACAGAAAAAGCGCUGCAAAAGUUGGAUAUUUACGUACAAUCCACUGAAACAUCGUUGCUUUCCAUGAUGGAGAUCUUAGUGCUCCCUGUGAUCGACUCUGAAGCCUAAAACAGUUUGUUCAACAGAGAUCUAGACAGCAAGGACCCCAUUACUGGUAGGAGAGUUCCAAAUCCCACCAGCUACCCAGGUCUAGGCACACAUCUUUCUGACACUAAGUGACAAUAUAUGUAUAUAUUGGAAAUGGGUCUCUCUUGGCAUUCCUGAUGCAUAUAUGGCUGAAGGGAAAUCACUCAGCGUCUCAGCCCUUCUCCUCUCACUCAGCGAAUAUGAUGGCAUACCAGGGGAGCCGAGCUUCGCUGCAGACACACAGAUGUCAAGAGAAAGCUCAAUUGGAAUUCAGAGAAUUCUCCAAUGAAUAAUGUUUUUUAUGAACAGAGUGGGUUGGUAAUGAAUUUUUUUUUUGACAUUAUUUCAUUUGUUUAAAUAAUUUAAUCAAUGUUAAUUGCCUAACCAGAAAUGGAAAAUAAGAUAUUCAGUGCAAUAAGAGUAUGAUUCAUUAAAAAUAUGGCAUGACACAGUGAUAUUAUAGUUUCCCUGAGGACUUAGUGUGCUAUUCAGCAUGCUUCCAUGACUAUAAAGUAGAUCAUCCACCAAGUGGUUAUUAAGAUAAACAUUUUUGAAUCUCAAUGAAUAGUGAAGAUUAUUCAUUAUUUGUUUUCCAAUUGUUUGAGAUGGUAUAUCUGGUUUUACAUUGCUGUUUCAUGAAUAAUUGUAUUUUUUUUUUUACCUGAAAAGCUUACAUUUGCCAAAUUCCAUUGUGAUAAUUUGCCCCAUAUAGUUUGACAACACGCACCGUUAUUGAGUUCAAUGAGCUGUCACUUUUUUUUUUUUGCAGUAACCUACAGAAAUACAACAUUUGACUUUAAGGCCCUGUUUACACCUGGUAUUAAGAUUAAGCGUUUUGGUCGAAAACAUCGUCUUCAAACCAAA
Long non-coding RNA from Megalobrama amblycephala (Wuchang bream), 1121 nucleotides. RefSeq lists it as uncharacterized. Lineage: Eukaryota; Metazoa; Chordata; Actinopteri; Cypriniformes; Xenocyprididae. The transcript has 4 exons. The record is from RefSeq and is a predicted model, not a curated record.